This 504-nucleotide ribosomal RNA is filed under the name uncultured bacterium. RNAcentral describes it as "partial 16S ribosomal RNA". It matches the Rfam family "Bacterial small subunit ribosomal RNA", at positions 29 to 523 of the family's 1533-position model. The record is from RNAcentral.
AUUGAACGCUGGCGGCAGGCCUAACACAUGCAAGUCGGACGGUAGCACAGAGAGCUUGCUCUCGGGUGACGAGUGGCGGACGGGUGAGUAAUGUCUGGGGAUCUGCCCGAUAGAGGGGGAUAACCACUGGAAACGGUGGCUAAUACCGCAUAACGUCGCAAGACCAAAGAGGGGGACCUUCGGGCCUCUCACUAUCGGAUGAACCCAGAUGGGAUUAGCUAGUAGGCGGGGUAACGGCCCACCUAGGCGACGAUCCCUAGCUGGUCUGAGAGGAUGACCAGCCACCCUGGGACUGAGACACGGUCCAGACUCCUACGGGAGGCAGCAGUGGGUAAUAUUGCACAAUGGGCGCAAGCCUGAUGCAGCCAUGCCGCGUGUAUGAAGAAGGCCUUCGGGUUGUAAAGUACUUUCAGCGGGGAGGAAGGCGAUGUGGUUAAUAACCGCGUUGAUUGACGUUACCCGCAGAAGAAGCACCGGCUAACUCCGUGCCAGCCGCCGCAGUAA